This is a long non-coding RNA of Cavia porcellus (domestic guinea pig), 5441 nucleotides long. RefSeq lists it as uncharacterized. Lineage: Eukaryota; Metazoa; Chordata; Mammalia; Rodentia; Caviidae. The transcript is spliced from 3 exons. The record is from RefSeq and is a predicted model, not a curated record.
UAUAUUUCUAUCAUAGCAAUACCUGUAACUUGGCCUUACUGUAUAUGUGUUUUUCCCUUCCCCCUCUGGGUGACCUAAUUGAUAUGUUAAUCAAUGCUCUCCUCUGUAAAAAAUUGUAAAAUCUUACCUAAUUGAUAUGGUAACCAUUGUUGCCCUCUACAAAUAACAGUUGUGGUGCUAAAGUAAGGUAACUAAGGUUGUAAAUUGCUGUUAGACUUCUCUAUUCUUUGCUAAGGAAAACAAGAUUUCUUCUUAUCUAAACUUGCUUGUAUGCAGGGAGACUUGCUUGUUAGCACAACCCUUAUCUGAUCUUGCUCUUCCCAAGACGUGUAAUCGCCAUUUCUGUUUUGUAGUGCGCCAGACCUCCAUCCCCCUCCUUACAUUGUGUGACCAGCGGCUGUUUGUGGAUUUACAAGAUAAAAGCCCUGACUUUUAGCUGUCAGGUGUGCAGUCUCCAAAUUGGCUCCCAGAGACUGGUCAUCAGGCCUGGCCUAAUAAAGCCUUUACUCCCCAAAUUUCAGUCUCUUGCUUCCUUGGAUACCGGGGUCCAAGUUAUCACAUUUGGAGGCUCUCCCUGGAUGGGAGCAAGACCCCAGACUCAUUUAUGAACAUCUGAAAGUAAGUACUCUGGAGGGUUUGUUUGGGCCAUGGUCAAUUUGUAAUUUUGAGGGGACGCCCUCAAUUUAGGAGUGGGAACGUCCCGAGGACAGAGUCAAUUGGUUUUUGGUUUUUUGGACAAAUUCUGUCUGUUUGUGACUCUGCCCCAGGUGGGGAACCGCUCCGUUGGUUAAUUUGUUAAUUCCUCCAGAUCCCAAAAUUUGACCAAUUUUUGAGCAAAGGCCAUUUUCCUGCAGCUUGUCUUGUCUUGUAUCUCUGUGUUUGUGUCCAUUUGUUCUAAUUGUUCUCCUUUUGGUUACCCCAAAUCUAACAGAACAUUAUCUCCUAGGAACCCCUUCUAUGAGCCCAAAAUGGACAAAGGGAUUUAUAUAUUUAUGUUCAGUGUUUUUGUACUUUAAAAUUGUUUGCCUGUUUGAAUUUGUUACUAACUUAGGGCUUGUUGCCCAUUUCUGUUGCAGGAUCCAUGUGGCUUAUUAGAUUCAAGGUUCAUAAUAAGAAAGAUGAUUUCCUUUAGCUCACCAAACUGUGCACGAAACAACCUUUGUUUGUGUCUUUAAUGUUGUAGCACCUUGUUUAAUAUUUUAGUCCUCAGUUUAUUACCUGAAACCUCAGCAUGCCUUUUAAAAAAGAGUAUUUUUCUUUCUGGUUAAAAUGUAAACAUAUGUGCACAUAUAUGUAUAUGUAUGGUUUUUAAGAAUCAUAUCAACUUUACCAAGUAAAAACCAGGUCAUACUGUAAUUGAGCCAGUCAAAAGGUUAUAGUUUCUUUAAAAUACAGCAUUUUAAUGUGGUAAAAAAGACAUAAAAUAUUUAAAUAUGUUGUAGACUACUAAAAGGUGACUUCAAGGGUUUUGUUGAGAGUUUUAAUGUUGUCUGAGAAGCGAGAGAAAGGUAAUUGACUGGUAAUAGUAAAAAAGAGGGAAAAAGAAAGUGGUUUGUCUUCAAGUAAAAAUGUCUGGCUGUGCCAGAAUGUGAAAAGAAGAUAAAACUUGGGGUUAUAGUGUAAGUUAUAAAAAGCUUGAGAAGAUGUAAAUUUUAUUUGUCUUGGUUUAUAGUACUGCAAAUAACAGGUUUGACAAGAAGUAAAUGUGUUCAGAAUUUGACAGUAUUAGAUCAGUUCUGGUCGAUUUAUUUAUAAGAUUGGUAAUCCUUUGCUGCAAAAUGUUUCCAUUAAUAUGAGAUUAUAGGUGAUAAUAGAGAUAAGAUGCAAGUUCUUGCAUGUGCUGUGAACAUCUGGGAGAUUAUACGGCACAAUUUUGUUACCUGUGAAAAAGCCUCUUUUUGUUAAGUAUGUAAUUUCAGUAAAAUGAUGGCCUGCCAUGUGGCACCUUGGGACAAAAGGUGGUGUGCCAUCCAGAUGAAGCCUGCUCUCUGAUCCGGAAUGCCAAAACCAUGUUUUCCUUUUGUCCCACCCCGAUUGGACAUCCAGAGGGCCAAAUCCUUACACCCUGCACACCUUACCUCCUCAAUCCGGAGAACACCUGGUACUCUGUUCUGGACCUGAAAGCUUUCUUCACUUUGCCUCUUGCUCUGGGAAAAACUCACUGAACUGGACUGAUAAAUAUGAACGGAACUUGCAGCAGCUCAAGUGGGCCUUGACAGAGGCCCCAGCCCUGGGACUCCCUGAUGUUACCAAGCCGUUCACCUUGUUCAUUAAUAAACUCGGGGGCAUUGCCAAAGGAGUCCUAACCCAGGACAUUGGCCCUUGGAAGAGGCCUAUAGCCUAUCUUUCCAAAAGGCUCGAUCCAGUGACAGGAGGGUGGCUUCCAUGCCUAAAAAUUCUGGCCGCUGUGGCAAUGCUACUAAAAGAGGCUAAGAGACUCACUUUUGGACAGAAGAUUUCUGUAGUGACCUUCCACAGUUUAGAGACUCUUAUCAAAACCCCUCCCGAAAAAUGGCUUUCAAAUGCUAGAAUUUCACACUAUUUGGCCCUGCUCCUAGACCCAGAGUCGGUAGUUUUCAAGACUUCUUCAGCUUUAAACCCAGCCACCCUUAUGCCUGACAUGGAAGCAGCUUCAUCCAGAACGGCAGUUGAGUGGCCGGGGCAGCAGUGACCACCGAAAAGGAGGUACUCUGGGUUAAGCAGUUAGAGCCUGGCACCUCUGCCCAAAAGGUGGAGCUCAUUGCUUUGACUGAGGUGCUAAAACUAGCCACGGGAAAGAGGGUAAACAUCUAUACUGAUAGUAGAUAUGCUUUUGCUACUAUACAUGUACAUGGAGCCAUCUAUUAGGAGCGAGGUCUCUUAACCUCGGCCAGGGCUAAAAUAAAAAAUGCUUCACAGAUCCUAGACUUGCUGGCAGCCAGAUGGUCACCCUGUCUGCGGUGAUUUCCUCGGUGGCCCCCUCAUAAAGGAGGCUUAAAAAUUGACUUUUAGACAAAAACUCUUAAUUGUUUCCUCCUAUUCGCUGGAGACUAUCAAGGCCCCACCAGACCGAUGGAUGUUUAACUCCCGAGCCAUACAUUAUCAGGCACUAUUUCUGGAAACAGCUGCUUCAAACUCCGCUACUUUGCUGCCUGAGGAUGACCCCUUGUUGCCUCACCACAACUGUACUGAAGUCAUCGAUCACCUCACGGGACUUCGACCUGAUCUAGCAGAUAAGCCACUAUCUGGAGUUCAAUCCUACUUCUCCGAUAGAAGUAGUUACGUGUCUAUCAAGGUAAGCGGGUCGCAGGAGCUGCCAUUAUACACUCUCAGGUUCUAUAGGAACAAAUCUUAGAGCCAGAGACAUCAGCCUAGUGGGCUAAACUCAUUGCCACACUGAGGCCUCAAGUUGUCUUUAUCAAAAAUGGUGUUUAUUGUCUUCUGGGGUCAAAAGAUUGAAAAUGCUCCCCAAAUUUGGACUUGUUGGCUGCCAUCUAAAUGCCAAGGAGAGUGGCUAUUAUCUGCUGUAUAACCCAUUGGACAGAAGAUGAUUUUGUUAUACAGGGAAAUAAUUUGGCAAAGGCCACCUUCCAAAAGAUAGCCAGCCAGACAGCCCCAAAAUCAGUGGGGAUUGAGAUAAACUUAACAUUACUGCUGAUCCCACCUGCUUUCUUUGUCAGAGCCUAUUUGCACUUGAAAAGACCAGCAUCUGGUAGCUCAACUUCCGAGAGAUCCCGGUGGCUAAUAUCAAGCUAGCCCAGUCUGUGAGCUUCAGAUGCCCUCAGUGCCAAUUGGUAAAUCCAAAAGAACUGCAAGAAAUAGAAACCACUGGUUAUCGUGGGACUAUGCCUAGAAAACACUGGAAAAUAGAUUUUACAAAAAUAAAAGGCCUGAACUUCAAGGAUAUAAGUGAUUACUUAUAAUGGGUGAUACUUUUACUAGAUGGGUAAAAGCGUUUUCUACUUAGUCUGAGUCAGCUCUGAUAACAGUUUCCCUGAUUUGGCCUCCCUUUUUAUUCGUGGGGUCCGACAAUGGCCUGGCUUUUAUAGCCUAGUAACUCAAACUAACCUAAGCUUUGCAGAUCAAUUAGAAAACUCCAUUGGGCUUACCAGCCUUAGAGUUCAGGGGAGGUAAAAAGAUAAGUCAGAUUUUAAAGACCAUAAUUACUAAUGGCCUUAAAAACUGGUGAAAACUGGGUGAGUCUCUUUCCUUUUCCCCUUUUGCAUGUGCAAUGCACCCCCCUAUGUUGCAGAUAUUUCCUCUUUUGAGGUUUUAUAUGAGACCUUCCUCUUAUACUUAAAGGUUUCUAAAAAAUUAGCUGAUUUAACUACUCAAUUAGCUGACUUAACCUCCCCCCCCCCCCCGCCAAACUUUUCAGCUAGCUCUGACUUCCAUCCACUGGUUAUUUCCCUGCUGCCCACUGUGAGCUGGAGAGCCUAGACACCUGGACACCGGUCCUCAUCAAGGCACCUCACUGUGAAUCUCUUGAGCCACAAUGGACUGUCAAAGUAGCCCAAAGCCUGCCUGAUUCAUUGUUCCCUCUGCAAGCUGGUCCCGGCUUCCAAAGGCAACCAGCCUGAGGAUAAGUAACUGUCAUUUCUUCCAAGGACUCUUUAAAGCUUAAGAUUGCCAAAUGUAACUGGUGAUCUUGUGUUCUCCUUGUAAAGACCCCGAGGUGGCCUCUGUAUGACUUAAAAAAAUUGUUACAUGUAUGAUAAAACAGAGUAAAUUUAAAUGUUGGUUUUCUUUCUCCUUUUGGUUAACAGUUUUAAUAAUGACAGAUGAGAGACCUUUGUUAAUCCUCUUAUUGGGCCUUAUAUGGUAAACAAGUUGAUAAACUAUGUCAAAGAUCUUAACAGCUUAUGAUUUUAAAGACACACACAAGGUAAUAAACAGAUACCUAUGAGUCAAUGAUUUGACUGACUGACUAAAAUCAGUGGGGAAUGUUGUACUCUAAAAAAAUAGCUUCGUUAUAUUGGCAUCAUAGCAAUACCUGUAACUUGGCCUUACUGUAUAUGUGUUUUUCCCUUCCCCCUCUGGGUGACCUAAUUGGUUUCCUCUGUAAAAAAUUGUAAAAUCUUAGCUAAUUGAUAUGGUAACCAUUGUUGCCCUCUACAAAUAACAGUUGUGUUGCUAAAGUAAGGUAACUAAGGUUGUAAAUUGCUGUUAGACUUCUCUAUUCUAUGCUAAGGAAAACAAGAUUUCUUCUUAUCUAAACUUCCUUGUUUGCAAGAAAACUUGCUUGUUACCUAAAUCUUGCUCUUCCCAUGAAAUGUAAUCGCGCUGUUUCUGUUCUGUAGUGCACGACACCCCUAGUCCCCUAAUUACAUUGUGUGACCAGCAGCUGUUUGUGGAUUUACAAGAUAAAAGCCCUGACUUUUAGCUGUCAGGUGCCCAGUCUCCAAAUUGGCUCCUGGAGACUCAUCACCAGGCCUGGCCUAAUAAAGCCAUUGCUCCCCAAA